This 30-nucleotide non-coding RNA is filed under the name Homo sapiens (human). The record is from RNAcentral. Lineage: Eukaryota; Metazoa; Chordata; Mammalia; Primates; Hominidae.
UGAGCUGUAACACUCACCACGAAUGUCUGC